This 844-nucleotide ribosomal RNA is filed under the name uncultured Synergistes sp. RNAcentral describes it as "bacterial SSU rRNA". It matches the Rfam family "Bacterial small subunit ribosomal RNA", at positions 24 to 893 of the family's 1533-position model. Lineage: Bacteria; Thermotogati; Synergistota; Synergistia; Synergistales; Synergistaceae. The record is from RNAcentral.
UCAGGACGAACGCNGGCGGCGUGCUUAACACAUGCAAGUUGAACGGGCAGAUAUGGAAGCUUGCUGAAGUAUCUGUUAGUAGCGGACGGGUGAGUAAUGCAUGAGGAGCUGUCAUAGGGAGGGGGACAACAGUUGGAAACGGCUGCUAAUACCCCGUAUGCCGGAAGGUGAAAGGGAGCGAUCCGCCCGAUGAGGUACUCAUGUCCUAUCAGCUGGUUGGUGGGGUAACGGCCUACCAAGGCGACGACGGGUAGCCGGCCUGAGAGGGUGAACGGCCACACUGGAACUGAGAUACGGUCCAGACUCCUACGGGAGGCAGCAGUGGGGAAUAUUGGGCAAUGGGGGGAACCCUGACCCAGCGACGCCGCGUGAGGGAAGACGGCCUUCGGGUUGUAAACCUCUUUUGUACGGGAAGAAGGAAGUGACGGUACUGUACGAAUAAGUCCCGGCUAACUACGUGCCAGCAGCCGCGGUAAUACGUAGGGGACGAGCGUUGUCCGGAAUUACUGGGCGUAAAGGGCGCGUAGGCUGUGCUGCAAGUCAGCUGUGAAAUAUCUGGGCUUAACCUGGAUAUGCGGAUGAGACUGCAGUGCUGGAGUGCUGUAGAGGCAAGUGGAAUUCCCAGUGUAGCGGUGAAAUGCGUAGAUAUUGGGAAGAACACCGGUGGCGAAGGCGACUUGCUGGGCAGCAACUGACGCUGAGGCGCGAAAGCCAGGGGAGCGAACGGGAUUAGAUACCCCGGUAGUCCUGGCCGUAAACGAUGAAUGCUAGGUGUGGGUGUAGAGAUACAUUCGUGCCGGAGUUAACGCGAUAAGCAUUCCGCCUGGGGAGUACGGUCGCAAGA